Molecule: non-coding RNA, 169 nt
Filed under: bovine gut metagenome
Description: malK-I RNA
Rfam family: malK-I RNA
Source: RNAcentral
GUAUGCCAAUCCACAACUAUGGUAUGCCCACGGUCAAAAAAGGAGGAGUUAACCUUCCGCAGACUUGCGGUGCGGUAUUGUGGAGACAUACCGUAAUGCGGCAGCCAAGCCCGGCCGCCGCGAGAGUGUGCGCGCAGAGGCGGCACAGUCAGAGUCAGAAAACAUGGCA